GCAAUCCACCCCACCCAGCACCUCGUCGCUUCUAUCUCUUCACUAGAGGCCCUCCUAGCCACCGCCGUCGUCGCCACCUACGACGGCCGAUCUCGGCCGAUUUCUCGGACCGGGGGCAGCGCCGAGCACCCCACAUGACCCCCUCGCUCUGCUCCUCCAUCUCCUUCAACCAGAUCUGGUGGGCGCGUCCUCCUGCGACCAUGGGUGACCCUCUGCAUCCACUAGGGUUUGGGCAACCACGUUGACGGCGUGGCUCCGGCGUUGCUCCGAUCCGUUGUUGCCCAAGCACCGAAAUUCCAUGGAUGGCAGGGUUGCUACGCUUCCUCCCCUACCCGGAUGCCAUGGAUUGGCUCGAUAUGUUCAUGGACGACGACGCCUAGAGACAAGGGAUGGCGUGGCCUGCCACCACAAAGCCAUAGCAAGGCGGAUGAGGGAGGAGGAGCCCACCGUCAGAGGGGAGACAGGAGCGGUCAGAAACAGUCCUUUCCUUCGAGCACCAAGACGGGUCUACGAUGCAUGUUGGGUUGGAACUCAGGUCGAUGGCGCGGCCAUGAACACGACCUCCUCAACUUCCAUAGCAACCGCGUCGGCAGGGGAGUAACUGCUACCUGAACCUUUGCCUCUCCUCUUUUACUUAAAAGUUUUUAUUUUAGUUCCUGAUUUCUAUGCAUGGCACCUUGUUGUGAUUAAUUAGGUCAGUUUAGUUCCGGAUUUCGGAUGCUAUUGUUGUUGCAUAAUUAACCCUGAAUAUUUUUUCAUCUCAUAUGCUUCCAUGGCAUACCUAGCCUACCUCCUCGAGUAGUAGCAUAAACCAGGGUAUUUGGACAACCAACAAACAACAGCGAAAGUAGCACCAACUCUGUUUCUAUUCUACUGGAUACUCACGAAUGUAAAGCAUUUUGUGGCAGCCCUAUAUACAUUAAUACUAGUUUGGUAAAACCUAAUUUAUAUUGCAUCUUUGUUGACUUGUGGCUGCUUGAUGAAUAAUGUAGGAGUACUACAUAAUGCAGGUGUUCUUAUUGUGCAAACUAUGAAACAGUGUUAUGAAAAAUACCGCGAAUCUGGAUGUAUGAUGUAAAUACCACGAAUGUGGAUGUGUAAUAUAUGUACUGUGCCUGUAACUAAUUAUUUUAAAAUAGUGAAUGUUCUAUUCUUUUAUAAGGAUAAACCACACCAUUUUGUUUACCUUGUAUUGUUUCUCACCGGAGUAAGGAUCUAUGGUUGUGUGUGUAGGGAGGGUGAUUUAGAUCUCGGAGCACAUCAACUACGAGCUUUCCAGAUGUGACGACAAGUACCGCAUGUUCACAUGUGCACUGAUCCAACCUGGCAACCCUCCAUUUUCUCUCCUGUGAUUGAUAUCCACCAAAAUAGGAGAAGAUUUUAUUUUUUGCUUAGUCUCCUUGCACAUAAGCUUUGGGCACCUAUUAAUGCUACAAGUUUAAGUAAUCUGACGAGCCCUUCAUGAAUUGUAUGCAACUGUUGGCCUAGUUUGUUAUACCGGGAUUGAACUAUAGUCAUGAUGCCAACACAUUCUUCUUUUUCUUCUGAUGCAAUCGUUAGCUGGAUGCAGGAGAUGGAACCAACACACAUAGCACAUCAGCUUGUUCUUUCCCUAUUUAAAACCAUUGAUGAUCAGGAUAUUGUACACUAUCUAUUUGGAUUUUUUUCAAUCAGUAUUGCUAAUACCUCCUUGGGUCCAUUUGCUUUCUGUCGUAGACACAUGUAUGAACACUUCCUAGGUCAGCUUUCUAAGCCUUACCAUAAUUUUCUUCUUGCACGUGGCAAUGGCAAGAGUGGCAUAUUGUGUAGAGGAAGAGGAUGAGAAGAAACUUGUGCUUCUCAUCAAAUCUUUGUAGAACUCUCUUGAUGUGCGAUUGUGCACUUGUUGGGUCCUUUUUUGCGCACUUGCAUUUGUAGAAGUAUUCUGUUGUGCACUUGUAAAAUUAUUUUGAUGUGCACUUGUUAGGACUUGAACCUUGACGUGUACAAGAGUCGAUGGAUGAUGUAUUGUAUUUCAUGUGAUGUGCUACUGAAAUGAAAUAUACAUUUUAUCUGCAAUCUUUAA
Hordeum vulgare subsp. vulgare (domesticated barley) is the source of this 2065-nucleotide long non-coding RNA. RefSeq lists it as uncharacterized. The transcript has 2 exons. The record is from RefSeq and is a predicted model, not a curated record. Lineage: Eukaryota; Viridiplantae; Streptophyta; Magnoliopsida; Poales; Poaceae.